This 458-nucleotide ribosomal RNA is filed under the name uncultured bacterium. RNAcentral's name for it is "SSU rRNA". It matches the Rfam family "Bacterial small subunit ribosomal RNA", at positions 26 to 518 of the family's 1533-position model. The record is from RNAcentral.
AGAACGAACGCUGGCGGCGUGCCUAACACAUGCAAGUCGUGCGAGAAAAGGGGGGCAACUCCCUGAGUACAGCGGCGCACGGGUGAGUAACGCGUGGAUAUCUGCCUUUUGGUUCGGAAUAACCCCGGGAAACUGGGGCUAAUACCGGAUGGUUCCUACGGGAUAAAGAUUUAUCGCCAAAAGAUGAGUCCGCGUCCGAUUAGCUAGUUGGUGAGGUAACGGCUCACCAAGGCGACGAUCGGUAGCUGGUCUGAGAGGACGAUCAGCCACACUGGGACUGAGACACGGCCCAGACUCCUACGGGAGGCAGCAGUGGGAAUAUUGGACAAUGGGGGCAACCCUGAUCCAGCCAUGCCGCGUGAGUGAUGAAGGCCUUCGGGUUGUAAAGCUCUUUUGGCGGGGACGAUGAUGACGGUACCCGCAGAAUAACGCCCGGCUAACUUCGCGCCAGCAGCCGC